Long non-coding RNA from Poecile atricapillus (Black-capped chickadee), 859 nucleotides. RefSeq lists it as uncharacterized. Lineage: Eukaryota; Metazoa; Chordata; Aves; Passeriformes; Paridae. The transcript has 3 exons. The record is from RefSeq and is a predicted model, not a curated record.
GCCUUUGCACUGUGGGCAUAGGGCAAAGCUACCUGAAGCUGCCAGAGCUUAUGUGUUGAUUUGGGGAAGCCUAGUAGUGAGUCUGGAUCUUUUUUUGGCCAGAAAUCUGUAACAAUGUGUUAGAUAAAUCUUAAGUGGACAUCUGUAAUCAAGCUUAUUUGGUAGAAGUUAGAGCCUAAUUAAAAUGUAAGAAGCAAAGGGGCUACCAGCCUCAGAGCAGCAUGUAUUGACAACUUAGGGAUGCACUGGCUUUUGAAAAUAAACAGGAGUUAACCACCUUGAAGGAGAAGUCACAGCAUCCGGGAAGCUCCAAGCACCAGCUUCAUUCUGUCCUGUCUUUCCAUGUGGACUGGGGACAGGAAAACCACUGGCCAAGGUGAAAUGAACAGCAAAAACUUCCAUUGACAUCAGUGGGUCCUGGACUCCUGGCGUUCUUUGUUUGUUUGGGGAAAAAGCCCAAACUUGGCUGAAAUUAAUGGAGUUGGUCUGCUUUGACCUGGCAUAAGGAGGAUCCUCGGCUACCUUCAGCUCUACAACACUUGUCCUGCCAGCCAAGAGUGGCCUUGGUCAGACUGAAAAGAGAUGGUGCAGUUGGACCAGCAGAUGCACAGAGCAAUGAGCCAGUCUUGGACCAUCUCCUGACAGUGCCUUCACUGCAGAAAUCACUUCAGAGCUGAUCGAGGCUGGUCUAGGAUGCAGCUCUGUCAUUAGUGCAGUCACUGAAAGCCUUGCUGAUGUGAAUCAGGCUGAGAGCUGUGGGAAGGAAGGGUCAUCUCAUGAUAACCAGUGCACAGAGAUCUGUCAGCCUGGUCACAGCUCUGGAGGCUUGUGAGACAUCAUCUCUUAUGGCAUUUGUGGA